Molecule: long non-coding RNA, 845 nt
Filed under: Nicotiana benthamiana
Lineage: Eukaryota; Viridiplantae; Streptophyta; Magnoliopsida; Solanales; Solanaceae
Description: long non-coding RNA (NBEN_LNC018825)
Source: RNAcentral
UUUGAUAUGAUUCGGCACAAGAUGUAGAACCCGGAGUUCAUUAGUUCAUUUGGUUUGAUUAUGGUGCAAUUUGUAGUUUUGAUAUUGUUUGAUAUUCUUUAAGGCCUCGAGUAAGUCUGUCUUAAAUUAUGAAACUUGUAGAUAUGUUCGUAUGGGGUCCCGGGGGCCUCAGUGUUUAUUCAGAUGGUCUAUAUGCCAUUUUCUCCUGUUUUUAAAUGCUUGUUCUAAUAAUUGGUUUUCAUUAUUGCAUUCUCGUCUAAGAGACCGUGUUCGCGUAGAGCUACUAUGGGUGCAGACAUUUUUCCCCUGGUGGUUGCAAGGAGGCAAAUAAGUUCGUGAAGCAUAAGGGACCUUUGUCUUCACGUUGGAAUGAAGAUUUACACGAUCACGUAUAAGGGAAGCUGGUAAGAGGAUUGGUGAUUUGUUCACAGCAUUCACGACCAAUAGAUCGCAAUUGCUAUGUUGCUAGGUAAGUGAUAAAUGUGUUAGCGACCGGUAUGUCGCGUUCGUGAAGCAGAGUUGGCAGCUGGUGAGUUUUAUUCUUUGCAAUCUCGAUGUAUUGUAUCUGGCUAUAAUAAAAGUGCACUCUAUUUCGGGGGUCAUGAUAUUUUUAUCUCUUUUUGGGUUAGAGAGUUCGGAUUUGGACGAUUUUGAGGAGAUUUCACGUGAUGGAUUGCUGCAUUUAGUUAUAUUUCAUAAUUACAUCUUUGUUUAUAUAAUUAAAUUAGUUAUUUGAAUUGGGAAAAAUGAGAAUUUUUUGGUAAAGUGAUUAUUUUAAAGCCGAUUUGAUAUCGGAAUUGGAUAAUUUUUGUAUGGUUGGACUCGUAUCGGAAUGAAUAUUCGAA